Molecule: ribosomal RNA, 281 nt
Filed under: uncultured Methylobacterium sp.
Lineage: Bacteria; Pseudomonadati; Pseudomonadota; Alphaproteobacteria; Hyphomicrobiales; Methylobacteriaceae
Description: partial 16S ribosomal RNA
Rfam family: Bacterial small subunit ribosomal RNA
Source: RNAcentral
AACACAUGCAAGUCGAGCGGGCCCUUCGGGGUCAGCGGCAGACGGGUGAGUAACGCGUGGGAACGUGCCCUUCGGUUCGGAAUAACCCUGGGAAACUAGGGCUAAUACCGGAUACGCCCCUUGGGGGAAAGGUUUACUGCCGAAGGAUCGGCCCGCGUCUGAUUAGCUAGUUGGUGAGGUAACGGCUCACCAAGGCGACGAUCAGUAGCUGGUCUGAGAGGAUGAUCAGCCACACUGGGACUGAGACACGGCCCAGACUCCUACGGGAGGCAGCAGAAGGG